Molecule: ribosomal RNA, 254 nt
Filed under: uncultured bacterium
Lineage: Bacteria
Description: partial 16S ribosomal RNA
Rfam family: Bacterial small subunit ribosomal RNA
Source: RNAcentral
UACGUAGGGUGCGAGCGUUGUCCGGAAUUAUUGGGCGUAAAGAGCUCGUAGGCGGUGUGUCACGUCGGCCGUGAAAACCUGGGGCUUAACUCUGGGCGUGCGGUCGAUACGGGCAUCACUAGAGUUCGGCAGGGGAGACUGGAAUUCCUGGUGUAGCGGUUAAAUGCGCAGAUAUCAGGAGGAACACCGGUGGCGAAGGCGGGUCUCUGGACAGUUCCUGACGCUGAGGCACGAAGGUCAGGGGAGCAAACGGG